UUUCUCUGCAUCUGGAAUUCUUCCCUUCCUCCUUCUUACCGCAGUGGUGUACUGAGCACUUUCACGUAAGAGUAUUCAUCCACUCGAACAACCCCCUGGAGAAGUACUCCUGUCACUGCCACCUGCUAGAGUUUGCGGCUACCUCCCCAAGACGCAGUCCCAGGGUUAUUGUGACCUAUGAUGUUUAUUCAACUACUGUUGACGGGCUGCUGUGCACAGGAACGGAGUGCACAGGGAACCUGGUAGGCAAGACCCCUGCCAUCGUGCAGCUGUCAGGUUGACACAGACAUUAAGGCAGAAUGAAGAAACAAGACAGCAAAGAAUGUGACUAGCCCCAUGGAAAGGAAGCUGUAUCCUAUCCUGGGGACUCUGUCCAGAUGUUCCAGGUGGUGACCAACAGCAACAUGAUAGAGUGGCUGAUGCAGACUUCUCCACACAUGUGAGGAGCAAGCUUGGAAGUUCAAGGGGUUUGAUAUGAGAAAACAGAGACUUAAAGAAUCACCCAGGAUGGCACUACUGGGAUUUCAAACCGUCAAUAUGACUCACAAUUGGGUCUUUCAGGGAGAAGAAUGGCCAGGCCUGGUCACCUAUGAGUGAGUGAACACGGAGAGCCUCACCAGAACCACAAGAAAUGGCUCCCCCACAGAAAAGCGGUGUCCUAGUACCAGAGUAAGAGGAAAGGAAUGUAAAUCACACCCAUAUGUCCAACAGAUGUCUACCUACUGUUCUUGGCAAUGUGAAUACAGAGGUAAUAAAACACGGACACUACCCUUAAUGGGCUCAUUCUCUCCAAUUUUCUUUCUUUUUCCUCCUUGAUUCAUUUGACAUUUUAGUACAGUGCUUUACCUCAUUUGUAAGGUGCCACUCCAGAUUGGAGCCUUCUGAUUUCUGUUUAAAUAUCUUUGCCAUCUGGGGGUUUCUGUUUUGGAAUUACACUCAAGAAAAAUUCCUGAACAUUUUGGGACUCUCCCAUUCACUGUGAGAACAAAAACAUUUUAAAUUAAAAACAUUAUUUGCCUAAUGUUGUGAGGGGUUGUAAGUAAAAUGUAACUGGUAAAAACAGGCUCCUUUUAUUAAAGGAAGUAAUGCAUGAUUGAAGCAAUUCUGAGGAAAAUAAUUUCAAUGUCUCUGGCAUGUACACACAUGUCCUAUGCAUACCUUACAUAUGCACAUCAUUCAUGCUCACCGCACCCCUCCCGGGAACCUGUAGAGUCAAAGACUAUUUCAGUUAUUACUAAGACUUGAAUAAAGAGUGGGGGUGGGGGUGGGGGUAGAAGUAUAUAUGAAACUGCAAAUGCCAAGACCCACUAUCUAAUUUACCUGCCUCCUUCAUUUUUAA
Long non-coding RNA from Piliocolobus tephrosceles (Ugandan red Colobus), 1339 nucleotides. RefSeq lists it as uncharacterized. Lineage: Eukaryota; Metazoa; Chordata; Mammalia; Primates; Cercopithecidae. The transcript has 4 exons. The record is from RefSeq and is a predicted model, not a curated record.